Molecule: microRNA precursor, 238 nt
Filed under: Pelobates cultripes (western spadefoot toad)
Lineage: Eukaryota; Metazoa; Chordata; Amphibia; Anura; Pelobatidae
Source: RNAcentral
CAUACCAUUUGCAAAAGUAGACAACCCAGGGUAUUCAAUAUGGGGUAUGUCCAGUCUUUUUUAGUAGCCACUUAGUCACAAACACUGGCCAGAUUUAGCAUUUAUAUUUGUUUGUGUGUUAAAAUGCAAAAAACAAUUAUGAACUUUGGCCAGUGUUUGUUACUAAGUGGCUACUAAAAAAAGACUGAACUUACCCUAUUUUCAAUACCUUGGGUUGUCUUCUUUUGCAAAUGGUAUG